UUAUGGCCAUAUCACGUUGAAACACCAGUUCCCAUCUGAUCACUAAAGUUAAGCUACAUUGGACAUGGUCAGUACCAAGAUGGGUGACCGCUUGGGAAUGCCAGGUGCUGUAAG
Molecule: non-coding RNA, 114 nt
Organism: Acanthosepion pharaonis
Lineage: Eukaryota; Metazoa; Mollusca; Cephalopoda; Sepiida; Sepiidae
Source: the annotation of a GenBank genome assembly